This is a long non-coding RNA of Hypanus sabinus (Atlantic stingray), 5089 nucleotides long. RefSeq lists it as uncharacterized. Lineage: Eukaryota; Metazoa; Chordata; Chondrichthyes; Myliobatiformes; Dasyatidae. The record is from RefSeq and is a predicted model, not a curated record. The transcript is spliced from 3 exons.
UUUAGUCCCCACUGGACAUUCAGCUCUCACCCUCGUACACCGCUUUGACAGGCAGGCUAAACCAGGUGAGACUCAUACCCUGGGGAGAUAGGGCCAUGCCUGUCCUUGCGUGCGAGGUCACCUCUGGUGGACUGAGCAGAUGAGAUCCAGGAAGGUGGUUCUGCAAUGUUCUGUGGAGAGCGAAGGGUGUGACAAGGCACAGAAGAAGCCAUGGUCAUCCACUGCAAGUAGGGAAGACCCCAGUUUGUGACACUUGUUCGUACCACUGGACCUGAGCAGCAGAGGCCUAAAGAGUGGAACUGCCCCAGUGCAACAGCUUUUCCACGUUAAAAACUCUCCCACACAGGUUUCCUGUCAUUGUUGGAUACAAUGGGCAAGCACUACGUGUUGAGGUGAAUUGUGGUGAGGUACUCACCAUAGAAUAGGGUGCCCACUACCACAGGAUUGACUUAAUUAAUUCAUGUUUAGUGUUGUUAUUUGUAAAUUUUAUUUUAAUCUCUUUCAUGCUUAUGCCAGCAUAGUUUCCACGUACAAGGUACUUUAUAAAUAAGCCAUUACAUAAAGUAUAUAUCCACAGGCAGCAGGAAAGGACCACUCAACGUUUCACAAAGUCAUGUGAAAAUUGCAUAACUUGAAAAUGGUCAAAAGAAUGAGGUAUAUGACCAACAAAUUUUCUACUUUCAUUCCACCUAACAGAAUAGCGUCACAUAAAAUCAACACAUGCUUUGUCUCAAUCAUGUUACUGAGGGAAAGGAACGAAACCACCUCAGUACUUUUCUGAUCAAAAAAAGAACAAAUAUGGUCCAGUGCGUUGUCAAGACCACAUUGAGACCAGACAUGCUCCUGGUCUCAGAGGCAGCAAAGUACUUCAUCCUGCGGGAGCUGACAGCACUGUGGGACGAGCUUCUGCAGGGGGCUGAUGGGACGAAGCUUGCCAAAUAUGAGGAAUUGGUCAGAGACUGUCGGAGGCAAAGUGCAUGCCCGUUGAAGUGGGCUGCCGUGGUUUCACUGGAUGGACUCUUCACUGUGCCCUUGGUGCAUUGGAUGUCGCUGGUACCAGGAGGCAGGGAGCUCUCAUUGAGGCAGCAGAGAAAGCCUCAAGAUGGCUUGGCAUGAGGAGAGCAAGUCCAUGGGGAUCUGCAGCACACACUACCUGCACUCAAGUCGUGGCUUGAUGAACCAUGACUGGGUCAUCUGGGUGGUGGUGUCCGAUGUUGGAAGACCCAAAACACCCGAUCACCCCAGCUGAGAUCGCUGUGUUCAGAACAUCGUGAGAUGUAGUCUUCCAAUUAGAUUAUCAUUCCCUAUUAAUAAUGAGCAGUAUGAUUAUACAAUUGAGGCACCAUGGUAGUGCUGUGGUUAGUGAGGCGUUAUUACACUUGGGAAGUGUCAGAUGCAUUGUCGGUAAGAUGUUUGUAAGUUCUACUUUUGACCAUUUGGGCUUCCUUCAAGUACUCCGGAUUCCCCCCACAGUCCAAAGACGUAGCAGCUGGUAGGUUAAUUUGUUGUUGUAAAUUGUCCUGUGAUUAGGCUCGGGUUAUUCUGGUGGGCAGCUGGGUGGUGCAGCUCACUGGGCCUAUUCCACGCUGUAUCUCCAAAUAAAUAAACAACGCUUAUUGAACCUUCCAUUAGUCGUUCAUCCAGUAGGGUCAGGGUUCAUGCUAUUUGAGUGACAGUCUUUAAAGAUCUGUCCUUUUGUUUUCAUUCUAAUUUCUAAUAAAACUAAUUUCUCAUUGAGUAGAUCUGGCACUUCAGUUGUUUUGUUAACUUCUUCCAAGAUUUCAAAGCUGUGUGAUUAUUUGGAAAAGCCAUAAGAUGUAGGAUCAGAAACUGGGACAUUUUGCUUCACCAUUUAAUCAGGGAUGAUGUACUUUUCCAGUCAAACCUGUUCUCCUGCCUCCUCAAAAAACUGUACUCAUUGUUGAGCAAAAAACGUAUAAAGUAAAUAUAACUACGUCAAAUUAGUGAAAGUAAUUGUACAGAUAUGUUGUCUUUCCUUAGCAAGAACUGUGUGCAAUGCUAAAUACUCAUGGAAAUGAAAGUUUUUUCUCAACCACUGGAUCAAGUAAGAUAUUUUAUAUUUGUCAUGCAGCUUCAGGAGGGAAUACAUUGUGGAUUAAUGCAAUUCAUUUAACCAGCCCCUAGCUACUAUCAGGAUGUGUAUACCUGCCAAGAUUUGAUUAAUGAUUCAAUUGAACCUGAAUUGGGCCAAAAUUUAUCAGUGUCAGAUCAUUUUUAAUUCUAGCUUUGCAUGGUAGUUCCUCAAGUUUCUGUCAAAGUCUGUUAGAUAUGUGGGUUAUGACCAAAGAGAAAAUGGCUAGAGCCCCUUGGUAAUCCAGUACAAGGGUGUUGAUUGGGUUUUUCAAAAAUCAAACUUACAAAAAUUUGUGAAAAUUAGUGGAAAAAAAAGCCAAUAUUUACAAAAUUAUACCAAGAAGAAAAUGCAAUCGACUGUACUUAUUCUUGUCCAGUGUGAACUCCCGGCAGAACCUAUCCUUCUCCCUUACUGCGAGUAACGAGCUCCUUUUUAUUUGGCACCAGGACAUACCAUCUUUAGUUACCAACAAAGUUAAAUUAAGACUACACAUAAAUUAGAGUAUGAUGCAGCCACAAUGUAGUUGCAAUCAUAUUACCAAAUAGACAACAUAUACACAUUUACACAUCCCCAUUACUAAAGAAAUUGAAUACCCUGCCAUGUAUGGCAGGAAAGGCACCAUAAAGCCAACCCAAAUGCAUCAGCUCGGUUUAGGAUUCAGCAGUGAAAUAGCAGAUUGCUCAACAUAAUCGUCCACUUACAGUUAAGUACAAAUAAAAAAUAAAAUAAAACUAAACUGUGGUGUUUAUCUCUGAAUGCAUGUUGCAAUGCUGAGGGAAAACAGUAGGUUAAUACAGCUAUUAUGAGGAUAUACCAGGGGAAAACAUUGAAGUCCGUACACUCAGCACAAUGACAGCAGAAUGACAAGGCAAAGGUUGUGUGUGAGUGAACGGCCUGUGUAAGGAGUGCAUUUACAAGGGCUCUCCAUUGAAAUGGCCUUCUCUUUUGUUCUGUUGGGCUACUACAGUUAAACUCGGCUCCAUCCUCACCACCCCAUCCUCUUACCACCAGAGUUGCCAGGCCAGCGAACCGUGAUAUGACACCAGUUCAACAAAUGGGACAAGAGCCAUGCCAAUAAAUGAGUGGCCUACAUGCUUCAUUGGGAUAAGUUACCAGCAGGCUGAUUGAUCUGUCCUACAUCGGAAGGAGAUUGAAACUGUCUGAAUGGCGCCGCAGAAACAAACUCUCACUCAACGUCAGCAAAGCCAUAGAUCUGAAUUUUGACUACAGGAGUGAGAAAUUGGAGAAACUGGGGGUCCAUAGGCCAGUGCUCUGAUGACUGGACGUGGAGAGGGUCAGUAGCUUUAAGUACCUUACAGAGGCUAGCACCUACUGUAAGUGUCAUCACAAAGAACGUGACAGAUCGAUAUUUGUGUAUCACAGCACUAGCCUUCACUUUUGCACUUUCAAGCAAAAGAAAUAAGAGCCAAGCCAAGAUUAGGUGGCAUAGUAGCAUAGUGGUUAGCACAACACUUUACAGUAUCAGUGACCAGGGUUCAAUUCCUGCUGCUGCCUGUAAGGAGUUUGUAUGUUCUCCCCAUGACUGUGUGGGUAUCCUCCCACAGUCUAAAGACCUACUGGUUGGAACAUUAAUUGGUCGUCGUAAUUUGUCCCGAGGUUACACUAGGAUUAAAUCAGGGGAUUGCUGAGCGGUGUGGCUCAAAGGGCUGGAAGGGCCUAUUCUGCACUAAAUCUCAAUAAAUAAAUUUUUAAAAACGGUUUCCCCUUUUUUAUUUUUCUUGUAACUUUUUCAUCAGUAUAAUCGAUGAUUUAUUUAAUUUGUUUUCUUUGUCAUUAUUUUAGAAUUUUGUGGUCCCAUUUUUCAUAAUUACCCCACUUACCUUAAAGAAGUGACUGGUCUUUUAUCUGUGUGGCAUAAAAGAAAUAAUUGGCCCACACUAUAAGAGUAAUUAAAAUGAAGGAUUUGGCGCACACAGUUCACCUGUUAUAAGUAUUUUCAGUUUACUUGCCUACAUGAUUAACACUAAAGGUGUUUAUUGAGAAUACUCACUGGAUUUUGAAUGAGAUGAACUUAUAUAAUCAGAGUCAUUGAUGUUACAUACAGUGUCAAUCAUGCAGAUUAAUUGAAAAGAACCGAAUCACCCUUAAUUAAAUACUCAUGGACUAUUAUUAACACCAUUGAUCAAUAUUAUACACUUCCUAGGAACUGUUGCUCACCGAGCCAACAGCUUUGAAUAAUUCAAAUAAUUGAACUUUUUCUUUCCUCUGCUGUAUAUCCUUCUCAGUGAGAACAUUUGGAUAAUGAACAACACGGACAUUUCCAAGGAUACACAUAAUCUUCUGGGGAUUGUGUAGGAAUCUUUGGAAGGAAGUGUUUCUCUUUCAGGAGUCCUGAUAUACGGGAGGGAGAUUGAAGAUCUGGCUGAGUGAUGUAAGAACAACAACCUCUCACUUGAUGUCAGCAAGAGCAAGGAACUGAUUGUAGACUUCAGCAGAAGGAAAUCUGAGACCCAAGAGCCAGUCCUCAUUAGAGGAUUGGAGUUGGAGAGGAUGAACUUAAGAGAUUGAACAGCACAGCAUAGAUCAAGACGUGCACCGAACUUUUCUCCUACUUCUAGAUAACUCCAACCCUUCCCUCCCAUGUAGCCCUCCAGUUUUCUUUCAUCCAAGCUGGGCCGGGUGGGGCGGGUAUGGCUCUGGUACAGACACAUCCAGCCCUGAGACAACAGGCAAGCUACCUUUGGGCCAGAGGUACAGAGAAGCCUAAAGUCCAACACCACCGGGACCAAGAAUGGAUACCUCUUUCAAAUGUUUACUUCUUAAACCAACCCUUGUCAGCCCUGCUAUAACUACUUUGAUCAUUUGCACUAAAAUGAUCGGUCAUUUUGCUCUAAUUGUGUUCUUCCUUGUAAAAACGGUGUAGUUUCUGUAAAUUUAUGCUUUCCUUGUAAAUGCUGUAUAUAUGUUGCCAUGUGCAUGUUGCAAGUCAGUUUUUCAUUACACCUGUGCAUUUCUGCAAUAUGCUGUUGUGCA